RNAcentral lists this unclassified non-coding RNA (335 nucleotides) under uncultured Ascomycota. Its description in RNAcentral is "sequence contains ITS1". The stretch from base 1 to 106 matches the Rfam family "5.8S ribosomal RNA", at positions 50 to 154 of the family's 154-position model. The record is from RNAcentral. Lineage: Eukaryota; Fungi; Ascomycota.
GAAAUGCGAUAAGUAAUGCGAAUUGCAGAUUUCAGUGAAUCAUCGAAUCUUUGAACGCACAUUGCACCCGGCGGCCAUUCCGCCGGGUCUGCCUGUCCGAGCGUCGUUUCACCCCUCGAGUCCAAACACUCGGUGUUGGGGAUCUGCAGGGCCCUCAGGGGCGCUGCAGGCCCUGAAAUACAGUGGCGGGCCCUGCUGGAACCCCCUGCGCAGUAACAAACUUCUCGCAUCGGGUGCCGGCGGAGCCUGGCCGUCAACCGGUCGGCGCCCUCCAGGGCGCCGCCCCCUUCAGAACGGUCGACCCCAGGUCAGGCGGGGCUACCCGCUGAGUUUAA